This 399-nucleotide ribosomal RNA is filed under the name uncultured bacterium. RNAcentral's name for it is "bacterial SSU rRNA". It matches the Rfam family "Bacterial small subunit ribosomal RNA", at positions 29 to 411 of the family's 1533-position model. The record is from RNAcentral.
AACGAACGCUGGCGGCGUGGAUAAGACAUGCAAGUCGAACGAGAUCACUUUUUGUAGCAAUACAGAAAGUGAUUUAGUGGCGAACGGGUGCGUAACACGUGGGCAAUCUGCCUUAAAGUGGGGGGAUAGCUCGGCGAAAGCCGAAUUAAUACCGCAUGUGGUGAAGGGAGACAUCUCUCUGAAUCCAAAGCCGGGGCAACCUGGCGCUUUUUGAUGAGCCCGCGGCCAUCAGCUAGUUGGUGAGGUAACGGCUCACCAAGGCUAUGACGGGUAGCUGGUCUGAGAGGACGACCAGUCACACUGGAACCGAGACACGGUCCAGACACCUACGGGUGGCAGCAGUCGAGUAAUUUUUCUCAAUGGGGAAACCCUGAAGGAGCGACGCCGCGUGGAGGAUGG